RNAcentral lists this long non-coding RNA (12928 nucleotides) under Salmo salar (Atlantic salmon). RNAcentral describes it as "lncRNA (ENSSSAG00000107831.1)". The record is from RNAcentral. Lineage: Eukaryota; Metazoa; Chordata; Actinopteri; Salmoniformes; Salmonidae.
GGUUAGGUUUGGGUUAGGGUUAGGGUUAGGUUAGGGUUAGGUUGGGUUAGGUUAGGGUUAGGGUUAGGUUAGGGUUAGGUUGGGUUAGGUUGGGUUAGGUUAGGGUUAGGGUUAGGUUUGGGUUAGGGUUAGGGUUAGGUUGGGUUAGGUUAGGGUUAGGGUUAGGUUAGGGUUAGGGUUAGUUUAGGGUUAGGUUGGGUUAGGUAGGGUUAGGUUAGGGUUAGGUUAGGGUUAGGGUUAGUUUAGGGUUAGGUUAGGGUUAGGUUAGGGUUAGGGUUAGUUUAGGGUUAGGUUAGGGUUAGGGUUAGGUUAGGGUUAGGUUGGGUUAGGUUAGGUUAGGGUUAGGUUUGGGUUAGGGUUAGGUUAGGGUUAGGUUGGGUUAGGGUUAGGGUUAGGUUAGGGUUAGGUUGGGUUAGGUUAGGGUUAGGUUUGGGUUAGGGUUAGGUUAGGGUUAGGUUAGGUUUGGGUUAGGGUUAGGUUAGGGUUAGGGUUAGGUUGGGUUAGGUUAGGUUAGGGUUAGGUUUGGGUUAGGGUUAGGUUUGGGUUAGGGUUAGGUUAGGGUUAGGUUAGGGUUAGGGUUAGUUUAGGGUUAGGUUAGGUUAGGGUUAGGUUUGGGUUAGGGUUAGGUUAGGUUUGGGUUAGGGUUAGGUUAGGGUUAGGUUAGGGUUAGGUUUGGGUUAGGUUAGGGUUAGGUUAGGGUUAGGUUAGGGUUAGGUUUGGGUUAGGGUUAGGUUAGGGUUAGGUUAGGUUUGGGUUUGGGUUAGGGUUAGGUUAGGUUAGGGUUAGGUUAGGUUAGGGUUAGGUUAGGGUUAGGGUUAGGUUAGGGUUAGGUUAGGGUUAGGGUUAGGUUUGGGUUUGGGUUUGGGUUAGGGUUAGGUUAGGGUUAGGGUUAGGUUAGGGUUAGGUUAGGGUUAGGGUCGCUGUACUGUUACCUUCCAGACUGGUUCCAUAUGAAUGAAUUUAGCCAUAUUGUAUGUACGUGUUAUUUCGCUGUUGUUGUUGAUGAUGUUGUUGGUAUUCAUCACAUCGACUCAUCUCAGUCUUACCUGGUAAAAUAAAAGUUUAUGUAUUUAACAAAAUAUUACCCCGUCAAUGCACAUUUAUGCUACACGUUAGUUGUUGCUUUACAUUAGGACAUACUUGUUUCAAAGUGCAUGGAUUUGAAAUCUCUUCUCAGUCUUUAUUUCCCACGACAGAAAUCACUUCUAGCAAUAUUAGGCAGUGGGACACUCACUACCCACUCACUAUUAUAAAUACUGUGGGUCUCAUUGACACAGGUAAACGUGAAUUGUGUGUGUUUUAAAGUAGUUAAAUUGUUCUACGGUAGUCUAGUGAUUCAGGCCCGAUACAUUGUUACUAUCUCUUUGUUCAAAAUACUUCAAUUCAAAGGAAAGAAAGAAAACUAAUGCAUUAUUUUUAAAUGGUCUUAUUUUCCCUCCUUGUUUUAAGAAAAAAAUACAUUGCAGAACUGCAACAUUUAUAGUCUAUUUGAGACAUGGAACAAACAAAAAAACUUAUACAAUAAUUUUCAUCUGAAAAAUGCAUUUUUGGUUUUCAAGUCAUGAGGACAAAUGUAUUUUGUCUUUACAGAGACAGGGUUUAUUUUGUCUUUACAGAGACAGGGUAAGCGAAACAACAUUAACUCUGAAUAUUUCCUUCAUUUUUGAUCAUAAUUGAAUUGCUUAUCAAUAGGUUAUCCAUACGAUUCCAAUACAACAUCACAAUUUUAAUACCAGUUCUCAUUCGUGUUCCAACUAAUGAAAAUAAAGAAGAAAAAAAAAAAAAAAAAAAAAUAAUCAUGUUUUUCUUUUACAAAAAAUAAAAAUACAAAAAACAGACACAGAAACAAAUCAGUCAAAAUCUACAGAAAAUUGUAAAUGUAUAAUUAUACUUUGGGAUAGACAGCAUAUUGGCUUUGUUUUCAUCUUUGGAAUGAAGCUUUUGCUUAGAAUAUUCAACCACUACCACACAGUCGAGCCUGAUCCCAGAUCUGUCCGUGCUGUAUAUCUAACUCCUACGGUGGUUGUCACACAAACUGACCUGGAACCAGGCUUCUCAACCACCUCCUGUGAGGUCAUCCUUUCCAGGUGUAAUUUAGCCAUUGUCGUCAGAUUGUAACAACACCUUGCCUUUGGUUUAGAAAACACUCCUCUCUAAGUACCCCUUUUCACACUAUCAUGCCGACCUGAACAAAACCGGGUCAGUACAGUAUGGCUCGGCUCAGUUCGGUUCGGCUCAGUGGUGUGAAAAGGCUUUAUAUAAGACCCUUACUGAGCCAACGUACAUGUAUGUAUCAAGCAUAGACACAUUAAGAGAAUCCAACUGUGGAGAGUGAGAUUGAUGGAUCAAAGUUAAAAGUUAUUGUUCAAUAUUCUCAUGUUCUACUAAAUGAACGAGUGAUUUGAUUCAUCAAGGUUAUUUUGGUUAUCAUCACACUGACCUCUGAACUCUAACCCCCUGUGGUCGUCGGACUGUCUGACCCUUCUCCUACGACCCCCUGAGGUAGGUUAGUGGCCUUGCUGUAGAUCUCUUUAUGUGUGGUUUAAUUAUUAUUAUUAUUUUUUUAAAUUAUUAACCCAGUGAGGACCAGAGUAACAGUACAAUCACUUCAUCCUAAACUCAUUUGUGGUAUUUUAAUCAGACACUGAUUGGGUGCUGCUGUCUAAUAAGAGGGUUUUAUUUGUCAGUUAGCUAAGUGGAAGGUCAAAGAGAGGCAUAGAUUGUCAGGCACAGUGCCUUCAGUGACAUCAUUAAGUUGAGUCUUUUUUCCGUAAUAUUCUUUGAAAGAUGUAUUUUUUUCCUACUGUGUUUUCAGGUCUAUUGUUGUUGGUCAAAAUACUACAUGGUUUGUCCAUCGAUGUCAAAUUCUGCGCUGUGUAAGUUACUAUACGAAGGCUAUUAUCAAAGUUGUGGACUACUGUCUCAAAAUGGGUCUCAGAACAGGUUUUCGACUCAUUCUAUUUAUAUCUCAUCUGUCACUCUUUGACAGUAUGUUAACAGUUAGCCUUGUGUUAGCCUUGUGCAGUAUGUUAUUAACAGUUAGCCUUGUGUUCAUAACCUUCUACUCAGAAUAUGGACGCUUCAGCUAAUUCACUUAUUACCCAAAGGGUACACUAUGACAGUGGAGGGUCAAUAUAUACACAACUGAGCCACACUCUCAGCAACCACAUGCAGUCCAUAGAGUGGUACGGGAUUCUGAACUUAAAAAGUAAUGAAGUCACAAUGCAUUACACUGCUAGCUAAUUGUAAAUAUACUCAUGCAUAAAAUCUGGGCUAUAGCACUGUUGUUUGGCAGUUGCUAAACAUAAUGCUACACUUCAACACAGAAGAAUAGGACAUAAGACAAAGAAGGAAACAUUUACAAAAUGGUGGUCAGAAACUAGGUCGUAAGACAAAGAAGGAAACAUUUACAAAAUGGUGGUCAGAAACUAGGUCGUAAGACAAAGAAGGAAACAUUUACAAAAUGGUGGUCAGAAACUAGGUCAUAAGACAAAGAAGGAAACAUUUACAAAAUGGUGGUCAGAAACUAGGUCAUAAGAACGGGGGGGUUUUUCUCUUUUUUUUCCUAUUUUUUUUUUUACAUUGUAACAUGUAAACUGUGGGCUUAAUCUGCAAUUAUCCUCAUUACAGAAAGCUGAGUGAAUAACCGGAGCCCCUCCAACAACAACAAAAAAAUAAAACCAGAAACAAUUAAAAACCCAAACCACAAAAAAGACAAGCAUUUGUUUUUGGUAAGCGCACCUCUUCAACUAUUACAGAAAUCACAACUUAAAAUGUAUCAAGAUUUUUUUUGGUUUUUUUUUUGUCUCGUAAAGUCACACAGUUACCAAAAUAAUAAUUUAUUACAUAUGCUAGAAUAACAUUACCCUAACCACUAGUAUCUCUGAGGUAUAUCUGAAAACAUUAAGGAGAGCACGAUCUGCGCUGUUGACAUGCCACAACUUUUUCAUUUUUUCAUUUUUUUUUUUUUUAAAUGUAAAGCUUUGUAACCAUUUGGUAGAAUAAGAAGAGGAAGAGGAAACAGAUAUAUUUGGAAAACCUUUGGUAUCAUUUCUCUUAGUUGUUUGCUUAGUGAUUGCAUUGCAAAGUACCACAGAGCCGGACUAAUACAUUGUCCACUAGUCAACAACGCGACGGCCAGCUAGAAGCUGAGGUAAGUACAGAGAGGUCUACACUUUGCUUUGGUUCAAGCAAGGCACUCGUCCCAUGGUUAUCUCAUACUUUGCAACAAAAGCGCUGUUUACGUCUUUGUUAAAGCAGCCCCAGUGGAAAAGUAAUAUAGCUGGCUGAAUAUAGGCCUUUAACCCUAUUAGUAAUAUAGGCAUAUAACCCUAUUAGUAAUAUAGGCCUUUAACCCUAUUAGUAAUAUAGGCCUUUAACCCUAUUAGUAAUAUAGGCCUUUAACCCUAUUAGUAAUAUAGGCCUUUAACCCUAUUAGUAAUAUAGGCAUAUAACCCUAUUAGUAAUAUAGGCAUAUAACCCUAUUAGUAAUAUAGGCCUUUAACCCUAUUAGUAAUAUAGGCAUAUAACCCUAUUAGUAAUAUAGGCAUAUAACCCUAUUAGUAAUAUAGGCCUUUAACCCUAUUAGUAAUAUAGGCCUUUAACCCUAUUAGUAAUAUAGGCCUAAAAGCCUAUUAGUAAUAUAGGCCUUUAACCCUAUUAGUAAUAUAGGCCUUUAACCCUAUUAGUAAUAUAGGCCUUUAACCCUAUUAGUAAUAUAGGCAUAUAACCCUAUUAGUAAUAUAGGCAUAUAACCCUAUUAGUAAUAUAGGCCUCUAACCCUAUUAGUAAUAUAGGCCUCUAACCCUAUUAGUAAUAUAGGCCUCUAACCCUAUUAGUAAUAUAGGCAUAUAACCCUAUUAGUAAUAUAGGCAUAUAACCCUAUUAGUAAUAUAGGCAUAUAACCCUAUUAGUAAUAUAGGCCUCUAACCCUAUUAGUAAUAUAGGCCUCUAACCCUAUUAGUAAUAUAGGCCUCUAACCCUAUUAGUAAUAUAGGCCUAAAAGCCUAUUAGUAAUAUAGGCCUCUAACCCUAUUAGUAAUAUAGGCCUAAAAGCCUAUCAUGUCAGCUCUAGAGAGAGAAUCCAUUGGAGUCAGUAUUGUCAUAUGGUUCCAGGAGUCUCACAUCAACUGUUGCCACUCCCAUAUCUUAAGUAUAUUUGCAUAAUGUAUUAUAUGCUAAUUUGUAUAGGCUACACAUAGAUGAAGGUGGUAACACGUGAUGAACUCCCGUACUUUCAUAGAUGACAAUGGUCCCAAGUUCCCACUAGAUUCAGCAUUAUUUCACUCUCUCUCUCAUUUCAACUCCAUAUUACCUUUCCAAACAGGAGCUAGAGAAUGAUUAGUAUAAUGAUGUGUUCGUAACCAAGUGGGAAGUGGGAAUUUCUCACAUGUAACUGGGAAAAAUCCCAUUGAAGACCCCUCCAACUGGUAAUUACUAGUGGGGAAACUCGUCCCUCCCACUUCUCUCGCAUGCUGACCUUUGACAUCACCUACUUUAUUUAACUAUGCAAGUCAGUUAAGAACAAAUUCUUAUUUACAAUGACGGUCUACACCGGCCAAACCCGGACGACGCUGGGACAAUUGUACGCCGCCCUUAUGGGACUCCCAAUCACAGCCGGUUGUGAUACAGCCUGGAUUCAAACCAGGGUGUCUUUAGUGAUGCCUCUUGCACUGAGAUGCAGUGCCUUAGACCGCUGCGCCACUCAGGAGCCUCAGUGGCUCCCUACUAAGAGAAUGGCCUCUAUAACAGCAUUUCCAGCAGUUAAAUGCAACAACAAAACAUUAUUUAUAAAAAGCUAUCUAUUCAUAUGGUUUGUGAACACUAUAAUUUGUUAACGAGCAUGAUAGCUGUACUUUUAGUUCAUGGUUAAGUAGCUUGUUGACCUUUAGCCAAUCUGCGUUUCUCAACGAGUUCAAAGCACGUGAAUUCAUCCUACUGGUAUUUAAUACUUCACAACUGGCAUAUUCCCACCUCCCACUUGGUUACGAACACAGAAUUAGUUCCAAGGAGUACACUACUGCUAUUAUAAUUAUUACAGCUGUUCUGUUCUUGUCUGAACCAGAAUGCAUCAGGGUUACAUUUUGGUAUGUGUCUUUCAGAGAGGCCUUUCACCAGUGCCUUUGGUUUCUUUGGUUUGGUUUGGUUAAAAUCACAACGUUGCACUGGAACAGUAGGCAGGGAGGAGGAUUGUGGCUUUUGAAGUCCAUUUACAGUAUAUUGUCCAUUGUUUUAUUUCCAUUAAGUCUGAUUGUUUAGGAGUGAUACUUGGGGGAUUGAGGGAAGCAUUUUCAAAUGUAUGGACUGUAGCCUUCUUUGCAAAGGCACUAGUAAAAACACAGCUACUAUAAUGGACACUGUGAUAAGAUGGACAUUGUGGUUUUUGGGCUAAUCAUUCUGACUCUCCUGUGUUUGUAGAUUUAUGAAAACGUUUUUUUCUUUUUUCCGGCACUGCUUGUUUGGCCGUUACAUAAAAAAUAAAAAUAAAAAAAACAAUGAUUAAACGUUCAUCCCUAGAUGUCUGGGAAUUAUAGUAGUAUGUAUAUAUAUAUAUAUAUAUAUACCUUCUUUAUAUAGAGUAUGUGGUUGUAUUUUAUCCAGCCAUACCUUCUUUAUAUAGAGUAUGUGGUUGUAUUUUAUCCAGCCAUACCUUCUUUAUAUAGAGUAUGUGGUUGUAUUUUAUCCAGCCAUACCUUCUUUAUAUAGAGUAUGUGGUUGUAUUUUAUCCAGCCAUACCUUCUUUAUAUAGAGUAUGUGGAUGUAUUUUAUCCAGCCUCUUUGUUGUCUCAAUGCUUCAGUGCAAAAACAGCGUUAACUUUGGGGUUUGUCACAACAACUCAAUGUGUGGUUUGGACACAAUGUGUACUGUGAUCUGGUGAAGGGCUUUCUGAAAGCCAGCAUUAAUCAUGUAUCCCUGACACACACCCUCACCCUCACCUUCCCUCACCCUCACCCUCACCUUCUCUAACCCUCACCUUCCCUAACCCUCACCCUCACCUUCCCUAACCCUCACCUUCCCUAACCCUCACCUUCCCUAACCCUCACCUUCUCUAACCCUCACCUUCUCUAAGCCUCAUCUUCCCUAACCCUCACCCUCACCUUCCCUAACCCUCACCUUCCCUAACCCUCACCCUCACCUUCCCUCACCCUCACCCUCACCUUCUCUAACCCUCACCUUCCCCCUUCGUCCCUAUUAUUUUAGGGGAGGAGAAGACAUGUGUUUGAGAGAACAAGAGAAAGGAGAGGGAAGGAGAAAGAGAGAGAGAGAGAUAAUAUCAAAAUGAAAGCAUGGGUCAAGCGCAGACCGUACUAGAGAAAACAAAUCUUUGGUAUCUUUGGUUUCAUCAACACGAUUAAAAUGACAAAUGGAAAGGUCAGUGAGGUAGCCUCUUUGGUUCUCACUAUAGAAAUAGAAAUAGUUUUUUUUUUUUUGAUUUUUUUUUUUACACAAGUCAUUCUUGGAAGCAGCUAGUUUAAGGGAAUCCUCUGUUUUCCGUUAUCAAGUGAAACAACGACCAACCUCUCAAAUGCUCCAGUUAUCUUUGGUGAGUCUGUCUCAUUCAACGUGCGACCCUCCUCUAUCAGUGGCACAAACAUCCGUCUGAAAUUCAUUGCUUGGUAAACAGAAUAAUGCAAAGGUCUCGCAAAUGAAACAAAUAAAUGAAUUAAUAAUAAAUCACAGAAGGGAAAAAAAAAAAACAAUGCAGUGCUCAUUCAUUAUCUUGUAAAAAUCAACAGAUUGUUUUCAUCAGGAAGAAUAAAGUUAAUGGAGAGAAAAAAAUUAUUCUGUAUAGGAAAAAGAUUUAACUAAAUGUGUUAUAAUAAUUAUAUAAUGGUGACAUUCAUCGUUACAACUACCCUGACAUUAUUUCAUUACAAAAAAAACAUUGUUCUGUCAUUAUUCACUAAACAAUUGAACACCCUCUUGUUGCUUUUUAAAGUAAAGCUUUUACUAAUAAUAAAUUAACGUGGGUAGGACAGAAGCACUGCAUCUUUGAUUCUCUAACUCUCUUAAAUACCCAUAAAUAUUCAUCCCCCCCCAAAAAAAUUACAUCUAAUUAAAUAACAGUAAAUAAUUAAGUAAAAAAACGAUCAUGUGUACUAACACACCUCAUAAAUAAAUAGUUUGACAGCAUCCUCAAAAGAAAACAGGACAAACAAUGUAAACUUUGGUAAACUUAUCAAGGUAAAGGAUUCCAAGUGAGAUUUGGCAAUUUUAAAUGAAUUCUCAAUUAAUUAAAACAAAUAUAAAUUACAUAAAUAAAAUCAUAUAUUACAUAAACCUAGGAAAGACAACAUAAUUGUACAUUAGGCAUUGGCAAACAAACAUAAAUACUAAAGACAAGCAAUGAAAACCUCUUUGGAUUUUAGUUUCAUACCCAUGUUUGGUACAUGUUCCUCAAGACCAGACUGAGUAUGAAAGUGGACUCCACCAGGCUCCGAGCCUCAAGACCAGGGCUAGGACCAGAACCAAGAGGGCUAGGACCAGGACCAAGAGGGCUAGGACCAGGACCAAGAGGGCUAGGACCAGGGCUAGGACCUGGACUAGGACCAGGACCAAGAGGGCUAGGGCCGUGGUGGAGCAUCUUUGUACUAGAAGCCUCACAGAGAGACAACUAGAAAAGGAUAAAGCUAUUUGACCGAUAUUUGAGCAGUUUCUCUCAACAGGUUGAACUACUAGUCUGUUUUGUAUUUUUGGUUUUGCUUAUUUUGAACGUGUGGAGUAGUAGAGUUUGUUUUCCCCAAAAAGUCAUACAGGAUGUGCCUAUGAGCACCCAACCCCUCUGUCCCCUACUGUACCCUCCUUCACUAACACGGACGCUGUGAUUCAGCAGUGGACUGGAGAGUGAGGUGAAUAGAUGAGAGAGAGAGAGAGAGAGAGAGAGAGAGAGAGACAGCUCUUUGUUAUCUUUGGUGUGUACUGUAGUUUCACAUAGUUUCACAGAAUCAUGUUUCUCUACAGACUGCAGUGACAGAUACAGCUGAAUCCUCCGGGCAUGAUGAUCCCUAGUGGACUGGACAGACGGAGAACCGAGGUAAUCAGUGUCCAGUGAAAGGGAGUGAUGGAGAGGAUGCAUCAUACCUACUGAAUCACACAGUGUCAUGUUGAAGAAGGAGCGUACCCUUAACAUCAUACAUACAUGUACUACUAUACAUGCAUGUACUGGGUAGCGCUAGCUAUACGGUAUGCAUGCAUGUAUACAUAUGUGGCUGUAUGUAUGGUCAACAUUGUCAGGAAAAUAAACUUUGGGGGAAAACUUCUGUAGGAAUAAUUAUGAAUCUUUGGUUUUGUAGCUGAUGAGGUUUUCGUUGUUCUUUUCCAUUUUUCUUGAAAAACUGCAUAGGCACACGUUAAAGACAACCUUCCAACUUUCAGAGACACGUCAUUCUGCCUUAGGAAACAACUGCCGCAGCGGCAUAGUUCCCACACGUGUUUUAAACCCUUUCAGUCUCAUCCUGCUUCCCCUUAAAAUGUCCUGACCAAUCAGAACAGAACAAAGCUACUUCUCCGUUCCCCCUGAUGUCUGUCCUCCUCCUCUUCCUCUUCAUCAUCAUCAUCAUCGCUGCUCACAUUUAUAAUUAUCUUCCUCUUUAGAACAGUUUUGUUGUAGAACAGUUAGGUGCAGAAAAAGUUUCUUUGGUUUUGAUUUGUCAAUAAAUAGAAAAAAGUCUCAAAUGUCCAUUUCUGGUCCGUCAAGCCUUUGGCUCACUUUUAUAUCACGAAAAAACCUGUGUACCACGGGACAAGGGGCUGCUUACCGGACUUUUUGCUUUGGUUGUUUGAUCGAUGGCUGAUAGAAGGAUAGACGAGUUUGACAUGAUUGAACUCUAAAGAUCUUAUGUAUGGGGUUGACUUGAAAAGUAGCAGGUUGUAUAUAUUUACAGAAUGUGUAAUAUAAUGAAUGGUUGCUACUGUGUUGAGUGGAGUCCUCAACACAGGCAUGUGUAUAUAAUCAUCAUUGGUGUACCAUACAGAUGGAGUAUCAGCACAGCAGUUAAGAAGCAGACUCUGGGGUCUGCGUCCCAAAUUGCACCCUAUUCCCUACACAGUGCACUAAAAGUAAUACACUAUAUAGGGAAUAAGGUGCCAUUUGGGGCACAGACACACUCUUCCUGGUUUGUUUCUUGGUCUGUUUCUUUCUUAGCCUGGUGCCCAGGGUGUUGCCUCUACAAGACUAGUAGAGUCCAGUGGAGACUAGUAGAGGCUAGUGGAGGUUAGUGGAGACUAGUGGAGACUAGUGGAGGUUAGUGGAGGCUAGUGGAGGCUAGUGGAGACUAGUUGAGGUUAGUGGAGACUAGUGGAGACUAGUGGAGGUUAGUGGAGACUAGUGGAGACUUGUGGAGACUAGUAGAGGAUGGUGGAGGUUAGUGGAGACUAGUGGAGACUAGUGGAGGUUAGUGGAGACUAGUGGAGACUAGUGGAGGUUAGUGGAGACUAGUGGAGACUAGUGGAGGUUGGUGGAGGCUAGUGGAGGUUAGUGGAGACUAGUUGAGACUAGUGGAGGUUAGUGGAGACUAGUGGAGACUAGUGGAUGCUAGUGGAGGUUAGUGGAGAUUGUGGAGACUAGUGGAGGUUAGUGGAGACUAGUGGAGGUUAGUGGAUGCUAGUGGAGGUUAGUGGAGACUAGUGGAGAUUAGUGGAGGCUAGUGGAGACUAGUGGAGGUUAGUGGAGACUAGUGAGGUUAGUGGAGACUAGUGAAGGCUAAUGGAGACUAGUGGAGACUAGUGGAGACUAGUGGAGGUUAGUGGAGGUUAGUGGAUACUAGUGGAGGUUAGUGGAGACUAGUGGAGGUUAGUGGAGACUAGUGGAGGUUAGUGGAGAAUAGUGGAGGUUAGUGGAGACUAAUGAAGGUUAGUGGAGUAUAGUGGAGGCUAGUGGAGACUAGUGGAGGUUAGUGGAGUUUAGUGGAGGUUAGUGGAGACUAGUGGAGACUAGUGGAGGUUAGUGGAGACUAGUGGAGGUUAGUGGAGACUAGUGGAGGUUAGUGGAGACUAAUGAAGGUUAGUGGAGUAUAGUGGAGGCUAGUGGAGCCUAGUGGAGGUUAGGGGAGGUUAGUGGAGACUAGUGGAGAUUAGUGGAGACUAGUGGAGAUUAGUGGAGACUAGUGGAGGUAAGUGGAGACUAGUAGAGGUUAUUGCAGCUGAUUGAUAUUGUCAUUAAAAUAGAAUUGAUGGUUACUAUGUUAAGAUAAACCAUGUUAAGCCAGGGUAGAAUAAUAACUUUAGUCUUACCAGAAAGCUUCUAUAAUACAAAGUUAGGAAACAGGGGGAAAUGGCUCCUCAGGGUUGUGGCCUACUGUCCUAUUUAGUGUUUAUUUGGACAUGGGUGGUUUGUCGAGAUUAUACUAUAGAGAGUAUAGUACUAUACUGUGUGUGUGCAAGAGUGGGUAGUAUAGUAGUAAUUGUAGUAUUAGUAGUAGUUGUAGUAUUAGUAGUAGUUGUAGUAUUAGUAGUAGUUGUAGUAUUAGUAGUAGUAGUCAGUGUUCUUCAGCCUCUGUUUAGAAAUGGCAUCCUGAGUUUUCUAAUAUGUGAAGAACAUUCUACAUUGAGCUGCAGCUCCAGUUCUAUUGCAAAUAAAAUGUGCUUCAAGAUUGUGCUCAAAUAGUUUACAGACCACGACAUAUGUUGAGAGAGAGCUACGUGUAGUAUUUACUUUACACUGUAAAGAGUCAAUGGUGUGUGUGUGUGUGUGUGUGUGUGUGUGUGUGUGUGUGUGUGUGUGUGUGUGUGUGUGUGUGUGUGUGUGUGUGUGUGUGUGUGUGUGUGUGUGUGUGUGUGUGUGUCGGUCAUGUGUGUGUCGGUCAUGUGUUGUGCUUGCAUACUUGCCAGUAGCUGGCUGUGGAAAGGUCUCUUAAGUCCUAAACCUCCCUCUCCCCUCAGAGGAUUCUCUGAUGAUGUUUCAGCCAUCCUCUCUAAUAUCAUGCCUCUCUCUCUAUCUGCUGUCUAUUGGUCUGUUCUCAAGUUAUGAAAUCACACUAGGGUUGCUUUCUCAAAAUUCUUAGGUUUUCCCAGAAAUCCUGGGCGGAGGGUUCCGGAUUUCCUGUUAAUUCCCUCCUGAUUCCGGGAGCUUCCAACCGGGUUUUCUGGGAGAAAAAAAAAAAACCCAGGCAGAUAGCAGGCUAACUAGAGGUAGACCCCGUCUAUACAGGAUUUCUCUGCCCUCUGUUCUCAGUUCCUAGGGAAAAGAAUUGCACAACUAAAUUGUAAAGCUGGCUAAACAUGGAUAUUAAACUAAUUAUUAUUCCAUUGACAUGGGUAAGAUCAAUACCUGUAUAUAGUCAGUCUUUUCUGCUUUUGACAUUUUUUUUUUGACCUGGAUUUGUGUCAACAACAUUCAUCUGAAACAUAUCAGAACUUGUCUCCAUCAUUGGAGAUAAUACUAGGUAUUUGGAGCCAAAUGUUUUAUUUCCUAACAUAAGUAUGCUAUAUGACGAUCUCAAAGAAGUCCUUUACCGGGAGAUUGCUAGAACAUUCUGUGGUUAAGUCUUUGGUGGGUUAGCUAACCCUGUAGUUUCAAUCCAAUAUUACAUAUAGAUAAUUUACAUAAUAUAUAUAUAUGUUAGCAUAUUAUACUUGGUCUUUGGUUUUGUGGGCUAAUGUUUUGAGUGACAUUAUAAAAAAAACUAGAAUAGAGCAGAUUAACUGUGGUUCAUUAUAAUAAAGCUAUAGUUUUCAGAUAGACAUUAGUCAUGAAUAGCCUUGUAUUGGUGGUAUCAUUCAGGCAGUGUGCAAAGGGGGGUGGGAUUAACCCUAUAGUGCUUCAUCAAUGCAUCAAUGUUUUAUAAAUGGAUCUGAUUUCUUUUUUUUGCUAAAUCGGCCAGUAAACAACCCCUUUCCUUUUUAACUCAUCCUCAAAAAAAGCAAAAUGUAAAAACGUUUUGGUUUUCCAGUGGUGCUGCGAAGCCCCUCCCCCUCCCCCCUCCGCCC